CUAAUCUCAAAAGCCCUCUAGAGAUGUCCCAAAGGCAGAUCCUUUUAAGGUGGCGCCUGAUAGAGUCCUGAUAGAGUCGAACUCUAUCAAAAAUUUAAAUUAAAUUUCAGAUUCAAACCAAAAUUUUUCCCUCCAAAUGAGAGAAUAAAUGGUCGACCAAAAAAUAAAAAAAUAUAAAAAAAUCUCAAGCAAAUCUGAAAUUUGCGUGAGGAGAGAAGGGACGUGGACAAUGGGUGGC
This 238-nucleotide long non-coding RNA is filed under the name Elaeis guineensis (African oil palm). RNAcentral's name for it is "long non-coding RNA (EGUI_LNC023636)". The record is from RNAcentral. Lineage: Eukaryota; Viridiplantae; Streptophyta; Magnoliopsida; Arecales; Arecaceae.